UAGGGAAUCUUCGGCAAUGGGGGGAACCCUGACCGAGCAACGCCGCGUGAGUGAAGAAGGUUUUCGGAUCGUAAAGCUCUUUUGUUAAGGAAGAACGAGUGUGAGAAUGGAAAGUUCAUACUGUGACGGUACUUAACCAGAAAGGGACGGCUAACUACGUGCCAGCAGCCGCGGUAAUACGUAGGUCCCGAGCGUUGUCCGGAUUUAUUGGGCGUAAAGCGAGCGCAGGCGGUUAGAUAAGUCUGAAGUUAAAGGCAGUGGCUCAACCAUUGUAGGCUUUGGAAACUGUUUAACUUGAGUGCAGAAGGGGGGGGUGGAAUUCCAGGUGUAGCGGUGAAAUGCGUAGAUAUAUGGAGGAACACCGGUGGCGAAAGCGGCUCGCUGGUCUGUAACUGACGCUGAGGGUAGAAAGCGUGGGGAGCGAACAGG
This 429-nucleotide ribosomal RNA is filed under the name Bacteroidota bacterium. RNAcentral describes it as "Bacteroidetes bacterium partial 16S ribosomal RNA". It matches the Rfam family "Bacterial small subunit ribosomal RNA", at positions 355 to 776 of the family's 1533-position model. The record is from RNAcentral. Lineage: Bacteria; Pseudomonadati; Bacteroidota.